GUGAAUCAUCAAAUUUUUGAACGCAAAUUGCACUCCCUGGUAUUCCGGGGGGUAUGCCUGUUUGAGGGUCGUUAGAAUAAAAAAUCGAUGCGUCGCUCUUUUUUGUAAGUGUGACCGCGUCGGCGUUGAGCCGUCUUUCAAAUGUUAGUUCAUGUCAAGGUGGCUUGAAAGUCAUCCAUCCUGUACGCUUCA
Molecule: unclassified non-coding RNA, 192 nt
Filed under: Glomeraceae sp.
Lineage: Eukaryota; Fungi; Glomeromycota; Glomeromycetes; Glomerales; Glomeraceae
Description: partial contains 5.8S ribosomal RNA and internal transcribed spacer 2
Rfam family: 5.8S ribosomal RNA (bases 1-71)
Source: RNAcentral